GAUGAACGCUGGCGGCGCGCCCAACACAUGCAAGUCGAACGAUUAAAGCACCUUCGGGUGUGUAUAAAGUGGCGAACGGCUGAGUAACACGUGGGCAACCUGCCCCUCUCAUUGGGAUAGCCACGGGAAACCGUGGAUAAUACCGAAUACUUCGGGACUUCCGCAUGGAAGACUCGAGAAAGCUCCGGCGGAGAGGGAUGGGCCCGCGGCCUGUUAGCUUGUUGGUGGGGUAAUGGCCUACCAAGGCAAUGAUGGGUAGCUGGGUUGAGAGACCGACCAGCCAGAUUGGGACUGAGACACGGCCCAGACUCCUACGGGAGGCAGCAGUGGGGAAUCUUGCACAAUGGGCGAAAGCCUGAUGCAGCGACGCCGCGUGCGGGAUGAAGGCCUUCGGGUUGUAAACCGCUUUCAGCAGGGACGAGGCGAAAGUGACGGUACCUGCAGAAGAAGCCCCGGCUAACUACGUG
This 467-nucleotide ribosomal RNA is filed under the name uncultured bacterium. RNAcentral's name for it is "partial 16S ribosomal RNA". It matches the Rfam family "Bacterial small subunit ribosomal RNA", at positions 28 to 507 of the family's 1533-position model. The record is from RNAcentral.